RNAcentral lists this ribosomal RNA (377 nucleotides) under uncultured eukaryote. RNAcentral's name for it is "partial 18S ribosomal RNA". It matches the Rfam family "Eukaryotic small subunit ribosomal RNA", at positions 592 to 976 of the family's 1831-position model. The record is from RNAcentral.
CAAUAGCGUAUAUUAAAGUUGUUGCAGUUAAAAAGCUCGUAGUUGGAUUUCGGGGCGGCCCGGCCGGUCCGCCGCGAGGCGAGCACUGGUCGGGCGCCCUUCCUCUCGAAGGCUUCGACUGCUCUUGAUUGCGGUGGUCGAGGAGUUCGGGACGUUUACUUUGAAAAAAUUAGAGUGUUCAAGGCAGGCCGUCGCCUGAAUACAUUAGCAUGGAAUAAUGGAAGAGGACCUCGGUCCUAUUUUGUUGGUUUCCAGGGCCGAAGUAAUGAUUAAGAGGGACAGUUGGGGGCAUUCGUAUUCAAUUGUCAGAGGUGAAAUUCUCGGAUUUAUGGAAGACGAACAAGUGCGAAAGCAUUCGCCAAGGAUGUUUUCAUUAA